CGAUACCCGAGUAGCUUGCUAUUCGGGAAGAGUGGCGAACGGGUGAGUAAUACGUGGGUAAUCUCCCCUCGAGUGAGGAAUAAUCUCGCGAAAGCGGGACUAAUACCGCAUAAUACUCUGGAGCAUAAGCUUUCAGAUUCAAAGCCUUCGGGCGCUUGAGGAUGAGCCUUCGGCCUAUUAGCUAGUUGGUAGGGUAAUGGCCUACCAAGGUUAUGAUGGGUAGCCGGCCUGAGAGGGUGUACGGCCACACUGGGACUGAGACACGGCCCAGACUCCUACGGGAGGCAGCAGUGGGGAAUAUUGCGCAAUGGGCGAAAGCCUGACGCAGCGACGCCGCGUGGAGGAUGACGGCCUUCGGGUUGUAAACUCCUGUCAGAAGAGAAGAAAACCCGAGUAAUCGGGCUUGACGGUAUCUUCAGAGGAAGCCCCGGCUAACUACGUGCCAGCAGCCGCGGUAAUACGUAGGGGGCAAACGUUGCUCGGAAUUACUGGGCGUAAAGGGUGUGUAGGUGGCUGAGUAAGUCAAAGAUGAAAUCCCUGGGCUCAACCUAGGAAUUGUUUUUGAAACUGCUCAGCUUGAGGAUAGUUGAGGUAAAUGGAAUUCCCGGUGGAGCGGUGAAAUGCGUAGAUAUCGGGAGGAACACCAGAGGCGAAGGCGGUUUUCUGAGCUAUUCCUGACACUGAGACACGAAAGCUAGGGGAGCAAACGGGAUUAGAUACCCCGGUAGUCCUAGCCGUAAACGAUGGGUACUAGAUGUU
This 759-nucleotide ribosomal RNA is filed under the name uncultured bacterium. RNAcentral's name for it is "bacterial SSU rRNA". It matches the Rfam family "Bacterial small subunit ribosomal RNA", at positions 67 to 824 of the family's 1533-position model. The record is from RNAcentral.